UACGUAGGGUGCGAGCGUUGUCCGGAUUUAUUGGGCGUAAAGAGUUCGUAGGUGGUUCGUUAAGUCCGAUGUUAAAGACUGGGGCCCAACCCCGGGAGUGCAUUGGAUACUGGCGGACUGGAGUGCAGUAGAGGCGAGUGGAAUUCCCAGUGUAGCGGUGAAAUGCGUAGAUAUUGGGAAGAACACCGGUGGCGUAGGCGACUCGCUGGGCUGUAACUGACGCUGAGGAACGAAAGCCAGGGGAGCGAAUGGG
This 253-nucleotide ribosomal RNA is filed under the name uncultured bacterium. RNAcentral describes it as "partial 16S ribosomal RNA". It matches the Rfam family "Bacterial small subunit ribosomal RNA", at positions 524 to 776 of the family's 1533-position model. The record is from RNAcentral.